Molecule: small RNA, 124 nt
Filed under: Marmota monax (woodchuck)
Lineage: Eukaryota; Metazoa; Chordata; Mammalia; Rodentia; Sciuridae
Source: RNAcentral
GCUGGGUGUAGUGAUGCACACCUGUAAUCCCCGUAGCUCAGGAGGCUGAGGCAGGAGGAUUGUGAGUUCAAAGCUAGCCUCAGCAACUGUGAGGCACUAGCAACUCAGUGAGACCCUGUCUCUA